Molecule: ribosomal RNA, 450 nt
Filed under: uncultured bacterium
Lineage: Bacteria
Description: partial 16S ribosomal RNA
Rfam family: Bacterial small subunit ribosomal RNA
Source: RNAcentral
GUGGGGAAUAUUGGACAAUGGGCGAAAGCCUGAUCCAGCCAUGCCGCGUGUGUGAAGAAGGUCUUCGGAUUGUAAAGCACUUUAAGUUGGGAGGAAGGGCAGUAAGUUAAUACCUUGCUGUUUUGACGUUACCGACAGAAUAAGCACCGGCUAACUUCGUGCCAGCAGCCGCGGUAAUACGAAGGGUGCAAGCGUUAAUCGGAAUUACUGGGCGUAAAGCGCGCGUAGGUGGUUUUGUAAGUUGGAGGUGAAAUCCCCGGGCUCAACCUGGGAACUGCCUCCAAAGCUGCAUGACUAGAGUACGGUAGAGGGUAGUGGAAUUUCCUGUGUAGCGGUGAAAUGCGUAGAUAUAGGAAGGAACACCAGUGGCGAAGGCGACUACCUGGACUGAUACUGACACUGAGGUGCGAAAGCGUGGGGAGCAAACAGGAUUAGAAACCCUAGUAGUCC